AAUUAAUAUUAAUCAAUAUAACAAAAAAUAUUUUAACCAUAUGGUCCUUUCGUACUAAUAUGGAUUAACAAUCUUAGGAUAGAAACCGACCUGGCUCACGCCGGUCUGAACUCAGAUCAUGUAAGAAUUUAAAGGUCGAACAGACCUAAUCAUUGGGCUCCUGCACCCAAAAUUUUUCUUAAUCCAACAUCGAGGUCGCAAUCUGCUUUGUCGAUAUGAGCUCUCAAAAACAAUUACGCUGUUAUCACUAAGGUAACUUAAUCUUAUGAUCAUAAAUUAUGGAUCAAAAUAACAAACAUAAAUAAAUGAUAUAAUAAUGAAGAGUUUAUCUCUUCUUCAUGUCACCCCAACAAAACAUCAUCAUUAAAUAUAGAAAGACAAACAAAAAACUAUAUAAAAGUAAAAUGUCAAGCUCUAUAGGGUCUUCUCGUCCUAAAGAAGAAUUUAAGCCUUUUGACUCAAAAGUUAAAUUCAAAAAUUUAUUAAGAGACAGUUGAUUUCUCGUCAAGCCAUUCAUUCCAGCCACUAAUUAAGAGACUAAUGAUUAUGCUACCUUUGCACGGUCAAAAUACCGCGGCUCUUUAAAAAUACGCUCAGUGAGCAGGCCAGACCUCAAAAUAUAAACAA
Molecule: long non-coding RNA, 627 nt
Organism: Schistocerca gregaria
Lineage: Eukaryota; Metazoa; Arthropoda; Insecta; Orthoptera; Acrididae
Exons: 2
Source: RefSeq, a predicted model, not a curated record